This 29-nucleotide small RNA is filed under the name Bombyx mori (domestic silkworm). RNAcentral's name for it is "ovarian small RNA-30450". The record is from RNAcentral. Lineage: Eukaryota; Metazoa; Arthropoda; Insecta; Lepidoptera; Bombycidae.
UGAAACUGAACCUGCGCGCAUUAUAAAUC